CAACGAUCACAGCGAAUAGUAACCACAAUAAUGUAAAUUGUUCGGUCUGCAAACAGAGGAAAAAGAGAUCAUGAUAAAAGAUACGGAUUAUCAUAAAGAUUUGAAAGAAUUAAUGUUUAAUAACGAGUCUACAAGUACACAUACAUCAUGCUUUGUGGAAAGGACAUAUAAGCAAAAACGUAAACGAGGAUUGAUGAUGAUGAUAGUAGUAAGAGUAGUCCAGUGAUCUUCUUCAGUGUACGUCAUCGUUGAAGGUAUCGUGUGAAAGACGAAGGUGAAGAAGGGGAUCGAAAGGGAUCGUAAAACAUCCUAUUUACGUCCACGAACGCAGAUUACACCCCUCGGGAGUAUAGGACUAGCCUGUGGCGACAGUAUUUUCUUCCAAACGUUAAAUUAUCUAGCUAUCUUACGACAAAAUAUCGUCGAAUCGACGAAUCUCCGCCCGAAUGAAAUACUCUCCUGGCUGACAUUAAUCUUCUUCUCUUUCUUCCUUCCUCUUUUUAUCUUUUUUUUCUUUUUCUUUCUUUCUUUACCACACACAGACUGGCCUAUUUCUUUAUGAAAUUAUAGGAAUUAAAUUGAUCUCUCUAUGAUUUUAUUAAGUAAAUAACAUUUUGUACAAGAGAAUUUAAUUUUAUUACAUAGUAUAUCACUAAUUACUAGCUAUUAUAUUAUGCUCGACAAGUGCUAGAAAGAUUAAUUUGUUAAGAGAAUAUUCGAACGAGGAAAUAGAAUUGUACGUGCGAAGUAAGAGUAGAAAGAGAAUUGUGAAGAGAAAUUGAGAGAGUAACGAAGCAAAAUGCAUCGAUUAUUUAUACUCGUCAUUUGAUACCAAAGGAGGAAACGUUGAAAACGACUACAGAUGUAAAUCUUCUAGUUUGCAACGUUCAGAAACUUGGUGAAAUUUCAAACAACUGGAAAGUCGAUUUUAACGUGACAGGAUUCUUGCUUAAGUGAUCAUAGAAACUAGAAAUAGGAAAUCUGCGAUGAGAUAGAAAUGUAAUCCUGAAGGUAAUAAAUAGUAAGCAAAGGUUUCCAUGAAAAUCACAUUUUAUAUUGUUAACAAAUAAUGUCGUACAUUUUUUCAUGUUACUUUUCGAUUUUUCUAUUGAAA
Long non-coding RNA from Polistes dominula (European paper wasp), 1114 nucleotides. RefSeq lists it as uncharacterized. Lineage: Eukaryota; Metazoa; Arthropoda; Insecta; Hymenoptera; Vespidae. The record is from RefSeq and is a predicted model, not a curated record.